This is a long non-coding RNA of Notolabrus celidotus (New Zealand spotty), 778 nucleotides long. RefSeq lists it as uncharacterized. NCBI's taxonomy places the organism in Eukaryota, Metazoa, Chordata, Actinopteri, Labriformes, Labridae. The transcript has 2 exons. The record is from RefSeq and is a predicted model, not a curated record.
UUUGACAGUUCCUGGUUUUGGAAUAUGGAACUCCAGCAAUGCAGUGGAGAACAGAGAGGUUGUCUCUAUCAGCUGAUACUAAAGUCUUGGUAUCUGAAUCUGUAUUUGGAAGGAAACACUUUCAUAAGUAAAUAACCAGAGGUUUGUUCCCUAUCCCUUGAAUACAAUUUUGAGAAUCUCAUACACAAACUGUAAAACUUCACCGAAGAAGAGUUCCACCCACAAGGAUGAAACUUCUUCAACACAAAAACAGAGGAAAACAAAGGACAAUAUGGUACCGCCCACCCACUCUGUGCUGACAGGUGAUCUCUGACAAGUGCAGCCUAGAAACACCUCAGUAAUCACUACUUAGCAACAGAGCUUUUUCCAGCAAAAGGAAAACUCUUAAGACAAACAGUCUGCUGGGAUUGGAUUGCCUCUUGACAAACGGAAGAGUGUGCUGCUGACCUGCUGUAUGAGGAGGUUACAGGUCUCCUGCAGCAGAACAAUGAGGCGUGCUGGGUUGCUGUAGUAUCUGGAGUUGGCCCACACCAGGCACACGGUGUGCAUCAGAGGGCCGACCUGACCCCUGACUUCCUGGAACUCUACGUUCUCCAUGUCCUCAAACAGGCGUUGCAGGGGCCUCAAGUAGGUGCAGAUAUCCUUGGCCUCCUCCAGGGCUGCAGAGUGGAGAUGUGUUCAAAGUCAGAUCAAACACAAAGAAAGACGAGAGAGAAAGUAGAGCCACAUCAGAAAAAAAAAAGCCCUUAUGUUCUCAGACUGAUAGAUGUUCUCAUUA